CGAUACUUGUGGUGUUAAUACCCUCUGAUACAAAGGCCCAGGAACUGAGCGGCAGGAGUGUCCUGCAUCCGGAGAUGAUUGGAUUUAAGUGUUCCUGAAGCUGGGGGCCUCCAAGGAUUAAGGAAAGUUAAGUUACAGGUGAACUCUGACUGAAGUAUUCUGGUGUUUUCAUACCAGCAAGAUUAGCUACAUCGUGAUCAUUUUGCUGUUAUUUGGUGACAUUGAAUCUGAGUGUACGUCCAUGACAAUUCCAAAAUCUCCCACGAAAAUCCUGAAAUGAACCUGAGAACAAUCCAUCAAAGCCCUAAGAUGCAGCCGCCUGGAACACACUAAGCACUAUGAAAGCUUUAAAUCUCUUCCUCUGCACAAUCCAUUUAGCAUGGCUUUGCCACACUCCACCAGGGGGGUGCUUGUGUUGGAUCCCAGGGGUGGUACCACCAGGAUAAAUUAUGCAUCCAGUGUCUGUGUAUGCA
This is a long non-coding RNA of Xiphophorus couchianus (Monterrey platyfish), 473 nucleotides long. RefSeq lists it as uncharacterized. NCBI's taxonomy places the organism in Eukaryota, Metazoa, Chordata, Actinopteri, Cyprinodontiformes, Poeciliidae. The record is from RefSeq and is a predicted model, not a curated record. The transcript has 3 exons.